UACGUAGGGGGCAAGCGUUGUCCGGAUUUAUUGGGCGUAAAGAGCGUGUAGGCGGCCAGCCAGGUCCGUUGUGAAAACUCGAGGCUCAACCUCGAGAUGUCGAUGGAAACCGUCUGGCUAGAGUCCGGAAGAGGAGUGUGGAAUUCCUGGUGUAGCGGUGAAAUGCGCAGAUAUCAGGAGGAACACCAACGGCGAAGGCAGCUCGCUGGGACGGUACUGACACUAAGGCGCGAAAGCGUGGGGAGCGAACAGG
RNAcentral lists this ribosomal RNA (253 nucleotides) under uncultured bacterium. Its description in RNAcentral is "partial 16S ribosomal RNA". It matches the Rfam family "Bacterial small subunit ribosomal RNA", at positions 524 to 776 of the family's 1533-position model. The record is from RNAcentral.